CCACAAUCAGCAUGCGCUCUUUUUUGUAUAUAUUUUUUUUCGCAUAAAUAUGCACAAAAGUAAAUCAAAACAUGCUAACCAAUUGUUUGACUAAGUAAGCACGUUCAUUAUUUCUCUACCGUCUCAAUCAGCGCGCUUAGUUUGCUCACUGUUUGUUUCUACUUGUAUACUGAUUUAUAAAAAUUAAAAUGGCAGAGAGCUCGGCUGAUGAAUUUUUCCAGGAGCUGGACAAUUUUGAGUUACAAAUGCCGGGAGCUCAGAGAGUUCCAUUUAAAGACAACGAAAGUCUGGUUAGGAUGUUCCGUUCCCAAUACCCUAACUGGAAAGAAGAAGGAAACGUAACUUCGGUUCCAGUUGCCAGAGUACCCAGACUGUUUCUGCAAAACACACAAAUGUCCAAAAAACUGCAAGAUAGCUUCAAAUAUUUGCAAAAAGGAGAAACCGGAGAAACUAAGGUCUACAGAUUGCUUUUGCACGAAACGGAUCCAAAUCAGGAAGGUAUGAUGGUCUUUCCGAAUGUUAAUCCUCAAGAAAUUUUCAAAAGUAAAAGUGCAGACGUCGAAAUUGACAUGUUGGUAGCUCACCCAACCAAAGGGUUUCUCGUGCUCAAUAUUAAAAAGCCAGGAGGGAAAGGCCUGACUCCACAAAAAUUACAAGAUGACAUUGAGCGUCAUGAUACUUUCAUUCGAAAGCUGAUGCAGUAUGGACAAGAUGAACCAGUAGACCCAAUUCCCAUUCAUUCAGUUAUUUGUCUACUACACGAUGACAACAAAGAAAGAUUUGUCACACUCACAAAAUCAGCCGGACAGCAAAAUCGGAUUUUAAUGCUCCGCAAAAGCGAUUUAACAAAAGAUAACUUUGCGAAGCAAUGGAAACUAAAUCUCGAAAAGCUUCCAAAUUUCGAUCCUAGCAAAAAAAACGUGUUUGAAAUAGCUUUAGCAAGAUUGGUCACACUUAGCUCGUUGGAGAGCUCUGCUGCAUUGAUUCAUGAGCAGUUAAUUUUCAACUGUAGCAUGCAGGCUAUCAACAAAACCAAAGGCCAAUUUUGUGAAAAAACAUUUGAUGCCUUUGAUCCCCUUACAAAAUUACACCUUGAAACCGCUUCAAAAAUAAAAAUGACAAAAACAAAGACACUCAUUGUAAAAAAAGAAAAACCGGAAAAAAGUGAAACUGAAAGAAACGAUGUUGAAAAAAUGACAGAUGAUCAUAAAAAAAGUGGAAGUCAAGAAAAAGAAACUGAUGAAACAGAAAAAAAUGAUGACAAAGCGUGGCGAUUUCGGAGUACUCAAGAUGAAUCUAAAGACAAAGCUACAGAUGAAGCAGAAGAAGCUAAAUGUCAAAAAGUCGAAAUUGAAAGUCCGAAAACUGCAGAAUUGACAAUUGAAGACAAAACGGGUAGCAAAACAUCAGUUGUUGUUUUGGAUGACGACAAACUGGAAGCUAAAGCUGGGGAACUUAAACAUUUGGCAGAAGAAUUCAAAAAUCUGAAUUUGAAAGGCGACGGAACGUAUAAAACAGAAUUUCAAGGAAACGAAAAAAAGAGAUUCAUAAUUUGGACAGUAGAGCAGCUGGAAAUAAUAGCCAAAGUGGUCAGGCAUCUGCAAAAUCCUACUGAAAACGGCUAUUUAAGACUACUAGUGACUGGCUGCAAAGGAUCCGGAAAAACGAUGCUGAUGGUUUUUCUUGCAAGCGUCGCAAAGAUUAUUCUAGAACAGCCUGUCUGCGACUCUCAGUUUCAGAACGAAGUGGUCGCAGUCGCUGGCUUCCAUUCGCACUUGCUACUUGCAGAUAUUUUGAAGCAUCUUCUUACGCCAUAUGGAGUAACCGUUUUACAUCCAAUAGAUUUUCUUAAAGAAUUUCAACGUAAAAACAGCUUCUACCACCGUCCAGUUCAUGAGCUCCAGGAUUAUGCGAGUGAGCGGAUCGGAGUUGAACAAAGACAAUCAAGGCUUGUGAUGAGCGACGAGUUCAUCAUGAAAAAAGAAAAUUGUAGAAGAAGUGCCAAAAAAACAAAGCCAGUCAUAGAAGGUGCAUCUCUUAUUUGCGUGGACAGUUUGGCAAAAAAUCAACAUUGUAUCUUGUUCACGUCAAUUCCUCAUCUUUCGGAAAAAUUUAAGAUCGAGCAUCCUGUGUUUCAGCACAAAGCUCUAUCUGUAUCUCUGAGGUCAACAACCGAGGUAGCUAAUUUUGCUAACGAUUGGAUGAAAAUUUACAAAUUUCAUCCCAAUAAUUUGGAAUGCAAACCUGGUCAUAACUUUUACGGCGAGAAACCAGAGAUUUGUCUUGUACCCUUCAUUGCUGAUCAAAAGUUUUCGGAUCCAUUGUCUGAUUUUAUCGAUAAGUGCAUUUCCACAAUCUUACACUAUGUCAAUAGACACGGUUAUGACUUUUUACCUGUAGUGGCGGACAUACAGGAUGAGUUAUUAAAUCGUGUUAUAGCCGGCUUAGCCGUCAAAAGUAACCCAAAGCAAAUUUUUCGCAAAAAAUAUGCGCCUGAUUGUUUUUUUCAAAUGAUUGAAAGUGAGUCACCAUCUGUUUGGUUCUUUAAUACCCAUGAAGUAGAAGGAGCCGAAUUCCCAAUAGUUAUUCUUCUAAUGUGCUCCACAUACAACGAGAGAGAUAUUAAAAAUACACUUGAUUUCUUUUCUGCCAUCACAAGAGCAACGAAAAAACUAGUUAUUGUUCGAGGCACUGGUUUUCCUAAACUUGAUAUUCAAAAAGAAGAAUUUGCGCAAAUGAUGGGAAUUAGAGAGCAAUUGGAAAACGCAUUCAACUCUUCUGGAAUGGAUAAAAUUGUCAUCAUAGGUGUCAUUCAAAAAUUCAUGCCAUUUAAAAAGAAAUUGAUUUCAGAUCAAACAAUCGGACAUCCAAACGUCGAAUCAAUUCAGUUCUUUGAGGGACCAGGAGGUAAGCUGGUUUACCAAUUGGAUGACAUCUACAGAAAAGAAGAUGUAAAAGAACUAAUACGUUAUGGAAUUACAGAUGUGAUUAUUGUGGGCGAUACUGAAAAUUUCCAUGAUCUUACAGCGACAUUUUAUUCUCAAACAAAAAGUUUAUUAGAUCUUCAUCGCGGAACUUUCGCUUUUAAAACUAUUGACCAUUACGAACGUUUCUUUUAUGAUUUGUAUAAUGUUUCCAAUUUCAAUAAGUUUCUCAAAGAAAAAGCCAAGAAAAAAGAGCAAACAGCAGCGGAAGUAAUAUUUGGAAAAAAAACUGAAGUCCCAACAUCCGGACCCAGCAGCAAGUGGGCGAAUUGGAAGGGAAAAGCAACCGAGCUCUAUCGUUUUAGAGAUCAUGUGAGUGCACUCAAAACGUACGAAAACAGUUUUUUCUUGCUAGCUCGAGAACAAAACGAUCACAUCGAAAAAGCAGACUUUAGGACGGCUUUCAACGAUCAAAAAGAAAUGGCUAAAUUACAAACAAAUAUUUGCAAAAUGAUUUUAUGUUGUUUGGAAGAAGACAAAUUUGAAGGCGACUUGGAGGAGGAAUCUUUUCAAUCUGGUAUUUAUUAUGCAGUUUUUGCUGCAUGUGAAGCCAUCAAACUUAACCCUUACUGGGAUCGAAGCUACAGACGACUCAACGAAAUAAAACAAACUGUAAAUCGUAUGGUUGAAAAAGAAAACAAGCAAUUUCAUGAAACAAACGCAUACAUUCAAAAACUGAUUGAGCAAGAUGUGUGGCGAGGAAAAACAAAUGGCUUACGCUGCUAUGACCAUGACUCGCUCAAAGUGGGCGACGCUGCUUUUCUAGAUCGACUUAAAGAAAUUGAAAAGAAACGAAGCGAUUAUGCGCAAGCUGUCCGGUCGGGUUCCAAAAGUUUGCAGUUGGGAAAUAUGGUUGCUCAACGAAUUCAUUUGGCUGAAAGUAUCUCCAACUUAGCGAAGGAAAAUUUGACAGCUUUAAAAAGUUCUGAGCCUAAUGCGGUUGAUAUCAAAUCCCGUGGGUACU
Symsagittifera roscoffensis is the source of this 3948-nucleotide long non-coding RNA. RefSeq lists it as uncharacterized. The transcript has 3 exons. The record is from RefSeq and is a predicted model, not a curated record. NCBI's taxonomy places the organism in Eukaryota, Metazoa, Xenacoelomorpha, Acoela, Convolutidae.